Molecule: ribosomal RNA, 112 nt
Filed under: Lecanora cinereofusca
Lineage: Eukaryota; Fungi; Ascomycota; Lecanoromycetes; Lecanorales; Lecanoraceae
Also listed under: 1 other name
Description: 5.8S ribosomal RNA
Rfam family: 5.8S ribosomal RNA
About the family: 5.8S ribosomal RNA (5.8S rRNA) is a component of the large subunit of the eukaryotic ribosome. It is transcribed by RNA polymerase I as part of the 45S precursor that also contains 18S and 28S rRNA. Functionally, it is thought that 5.8S rRNA may be involved in ribosome translocation.
Source: RNAcentral
ACUUUCAACAACGGAUCUCUUGGUUCUGGCAUCGAUGAAGAACGCAGCGAAAUGCGAUAAGUAAUGUGAAUUGCAGAAUUCAGUGAAUCAUCGAAUCUUUGAACGCACAUUG